CAUGAUUUUACAGUUAAAUUUCCCGCUCGAAAUGAUCCAGAACAAACAUACAAAAAGUACAUAUUCCUGGGAAAAACAUUAUAAGGAUCAGUCGAAACCUCAUUCUGACUUUGAAAGAUGACAGAAUCUCUUCAAAUCAAAUCAAAAGAGUCCGUCGUCAAGUCAUUAGUCUUUCUGAAGGUUUUAAGGUUAGGAUACGUUGUCACGAGGUCGCGAGGAAAAAAAAUAAUCAGAGACAGUUCAACCAUAAGAAAGAAACAUUAUUCGCGUGAAUUUGAAAGUCUGAUUGAGGUUUUCGGUAUUGGUGGCUCCAGAGAGGAUGCGGGAUAUUGUCACGAUAAUAAUAACUAAACGAUUUGAUUACAAAAGGCAUUAGGAGGCGCAGCUGCAAAAAGAGUUCAAGCGCGAAAGUUGGAUCUAUUCUACACAAAAAUAUACGGAGCAGCAUCAGGCUCUCAUUGAUAAAUUUGCGGUGAAGUUAACACCCACCGCGUGCGAGAUAGAAUUAGAAACAGCAAACAUGUCUAUUCCGGAAUUCGGAAAAGAAGUGGAGCAACUUUCUGCGCAACUUACGUCAGCACAAGUAUCCCUCAAAACCUUUCAAAUGAUGCGGAUGCAGUCGUGCCAUGGCAGCCAUAUGUGGCUUUAUUAGUGAAUUAGGUAAUCCACAAACCGCGCGAAAUCCCCUAACCCUACAUAGAACAAUCUCGGACUAUCUUGAAAUACUAGUAAUCAUGGAAGAAGAAAAUUGAUGCAAGCCGUGCGAUGGCUUAUGGACAAAACGAUGGAAGAUAUAACGUCGAAUGCCAAAACGUCGAAAGCGGCAAAACUUUGAAAGGACAAAACGUCGGAAACAAGUGAAGUAAUCAAAACAAAUAAUGAGUUCUUCAUUAUUUUAAAGGAACCCCAUUCUUUCACUUUUCGACGUUUUGUCCUUUCUACGUGUAAGUGUUGUAUAAUUCGUGUCGUAUGUACUACCGAGAAUUUUGUGUGAUUUUGUGAAAACCGUGAAUGUUUAAAAAGCAGGUAGUAUUCGUUAUAAAUGUAGGUUUUUCCCAGCCUAACUCCCGACAGCGAUAGGCUUAGUCAGGUUCAGGCUCCACCACCUUACGAGAAAAUUGUCAUCGUCCACCCACCGAAGUACCAAAACCCACCACGAGAUGGACGGUUACCAUUCUUGGGCGGCCAUGAGGGGUGGCGUAAUGGGGCCAUUAAGAAAUAAGAAAUGGGAGGAGGGGGUAAUGACCUGAGUAAGAGGUCAUGGACCUCCAAGCGCUCGACGACUCCAUGACUGAGGAACACUUACAAAAAGUUCGUCGAGUAAGACAGUUUUGAAAAGCUAGAGACAAGUUGUAGAAAGAAAUUGGAGAAGUGAAAGUCUAAGGAAGUGCAAGUGGAAAGAAGUUUGGUGAAUUGGAUUAUCAGGUAACUACUAGAACCACCAAUAUAGGCCUGAUAGUAAUGCCUUCCCCCCAUCUCAGAACCCCGCCAUGUUUUUGGUUUAAGAACCCCGUGAAGUGCCCUACGAAAUCCGAGUGUCCAAAGUCAUUCCGGCAAAAACCGAAGACCGAUUCACUACGACAUUGGUAAGGACCCGGACGAGUAGCCGGCCGGAAUACGGAGCAGCGCGAGUCCCAAGCCACCCCCGGGAACCGUGGAGAGCGAGCCGAGGAUCCACGCCCGCACGCGAGUCGCCGUUGGAGACGAGGAAGGAGAGGUGGUGGAGCAGAAAGAGAAGGGGCCCCGCAACAGAAAAGGUCAGAUAGAAUUCAAGAAGUGGGAGUAGAAAGUGCCAGGAAUAGCCUAGGAAUAAUGAGUAGUUGGAGCAAUAAACUGGUGUAGAAAGUGUAAAUGUGCUGUGGUUUUCCUCCAUUCUGCACGAGAACUACCUGCCCGCGAGUAACUGUGUAGUGAACGUGCCGACCCUGAAGCCAUUGAGUCGGGGAGUCUCUGUGAUACUCCCGACUGACCUAACCAAUACUUACAUACGUUUUGUCUCCCAACCAGUGAAGCCUUUCAACGAAACGUUUAGGUCGAAGGGUGUGCUCAUUGGAUGCACAGCUCUCUCGUGAAUAAAAAUCUAAGCAUUCGCUAUCGGGCAGGCUACUAUAUCCCUGUAAUUGUGUGAUUGUAGCCUACCCGGCGAUGUCGACAAAUGACACUGAUGUAUGAUGAAGAAGAUAGUUGAAAAUCAGUACCUAUUCGUCGACUGGGAGGGUCUCAACAAGGGCAUCGAAGCCGGCAAGCUCAAGGCUUGUAAAGAUUUCUUGUUUACUGGUUCUGAUAUGCAGUGAAGCAAAUUGCAAUUCAGAAAAAAAAAACUGUUCCGGAUAUGGUUCUGAAAAUUACUUCCACAAGAUAUUUAAUUCAUCUUCGAGUGAUUCCUCGAAAAAUUACUAGAAGUGUCACAGAAAGUAGAAUUAAGAUAGUGUGUAUGUACAAUUUGUAUGAUAUUGAUAUUUAUAAAUAAAAAAGCAAAAAGCAAAAUUCGGGUUGUGGUUGGCACGAAUGAAUGUUUCGGUAAAAAUAUAUUAUGGUGGCUACAGAGAGGAGGCAUGCUCAGAACUGAUUUUAAGUAUCAUCGCUGUGACUGUUGUAAAUAAGCCAAGGUAUAUUAUCUACCAUUACGGAGUUCCCGAGGUUGAGAGAGGCUCAUCGUGUCUACCGUUUCGAAUUGCAUGUAUUUUGUUUCGGACCAUCUCAGGACAUUUAUGGACACUGCACGCAGCAACACAACUUUUCCCCGAUAUUUGCAACUAGUA
Long non-coding RNA from Aedes albopictus (Asian tiger mosquito), 2762 nucleotides. RefSeq lists it as uncharacterized. Lineage: Eukaryota; Metazoa; Arthropoda; Insecta; Diptera; Culicidae. The record is from RefSeq and is a predicted model, not a curated record. The transcript has 2 exons.